This is a long non-coding RNA of Alosa alosa (allis shad), 731 nucleotides long. RefSeq lists it as uncharacterized. The record is from RefSeq and is a predicted model, not a curated record. The transcript has 3 exons. NCBI's taxonomy places the organism in Eukaryota, Metazoa, Chordata, Actinopteri, Clupeiformes, Clupeidae.
CACUGAUUGUCAGCACCUGUGUGCUGCUGCUCCUCAGACCAAGUGUGCAACCAGCCCAAGGAGGUUGCUGGUUUUCUCCUUGCCUGGAGAUGUAAGCAGAUGUACUUUGUCCGGUGGUUUGUAAGUGAGUAAUUUCAGCGUCUACAGAGACUACGAGGGAUCUUUGGCCAUUGCUUCUGGGAGGAUUGCAGCGUAGAGGCUUUGUUGUGGCAAUCACUGUUUCUCUUGUUCUUUUGUCUUUUCUUUUGGUUAUAUGUGAUUGUUUACAUAUGCUUGUGUUUUUUUUUUCUGCUAGCCAGCAGUGGUGAUAAUUGCUGAUCGAUAGAUCAGCUUGUGUGAGUUGCGUGAACUACUACGCUGGUUAGCAGGUUUAUAUUUGUUUUGUUUUUUGUUUUGUUUGUCAAACCAUUCCCUAAGUGUCUUUGUCUAACCCAGUGUCUAUUGCAUGUAUGUGGCUGUUGGGAGGUGGAGCGGGGUUUAUGUUGUGGCCUGUUUGCUUGAGUUUGAAUCCUUUGUUUGGCACCUGUUGAGGCCCUGGGUGUAUUUGAUCUUUUGUUUGGUUGUUGAGUCCUUUUUCUUGGUUGUAACCCCCCUGCUCUGUCUCAAAUUGGAUGAUUAGAAGCUGUGGUUGAUGUAGCUAACUGUGGGGAAGGCUUACUAAAUGUUGCAUGUGCUCUCAAACUGUUCUCCUUGAAAUACAUGUAAAAUAAAUUAUGUUUUUAUAUUCUCAA